Molecule: ribosomal RNA, 487 nt
Filed under: uncultured bacterium
Lineage: Bacteria
Description: bacterial SSU rRNA
Rfam family: Bacterial small subunit ribosomal RNA
Source: RNAcentral
CUACGUGCCAGCAGCCGCGGUAAUACGUAGGUCCCGAGCGUUGUCCGGAAUUAUUGGGCGUAAAGCGCGCGCAGGCGGAUUGGUCAGUCUGUCUUAAAAGUUCGGGGCUUAACCCCGUGAUGGAAUGGAAACUGCCAAUCUAGAGUAUCGGAGAGGAAAGUGGAAUUCCUAGUGUAGCGGUGAAAUGCGUAGAUAUUAGGAAGAACACCAGUGGCGAAGGCGACUUUCUGGACGAAAACUGACGCUGAGGCGCGAAAGCCAGGGGAGCGAACGGGAUUAGAUACCCCGGUAGUCCUGGCCGUAAACGAUGGGUACUAGGUGUAGGGGGUAUCGACCCCUUCUGUGCCGGAGUUAACGCAAUAAGUACCCCGCCUGGGGGGUACGACCGCAAGGUUGAAACUCAAAGGAAUUGACGGGGGCCCGCACAAGCGGUGGAGUAUGUGGUUUAAUUCGACGCAACGCGAAGAACCUUACCAGGUCUUGACAU